This 458-nucleotide ribosomal RNA is filed under the name uncultured bacterium. RNAcentral describes it as "SSU rRNA". It matches the Rfam family "Bacterial small subunit ribosomal RNA", at positions 26 to 518 of the family's 1533-position model. The record is from RNAcentral.
AGAAUCAACGCUGGCGGCGUGCCUAACACAUGCAAGUCGCACGAGAAAGGGACUUCGGUCCUAAGUACAGUGGCGCACGGGUGAGUAACACGUGAAUUAUCUACCUCCGAGUGGGGAAUAACUGAGAGAAAUCUUAGCUAAUACCGCAUAACACUUACGAGUCAAAGCAGCAAUGCGCUUGGAGAGGAGUUCGCGGCAGAUUAGUUAGUUGGCGGGGUAAUGGCCCACCAAGACGAUGAUCUGUAUCCGGCCUGAGAGGGCGCACGGACACACUGGAACUGAAACACGGUCCAGACUCCUACGGAGGCAGCAGUGGGGAAUUUUUGCGCAAUGGGGGAAACCCUGACGCAGCAACGCCGCGUGGAGGAUGAAAUAUCUUGGUAUGUAAACUCCUUUCGAUGGGGAAGAUAAUGACGGUACCAUAGAAGAAGCCCGGCUAACUUCGCGCCAGCAGCCGC